RNAcentral lists this ribosomal RNA (216 nucleotides) under Glomeromycotina sp. RNAcentral's name for it is "partial small subunit ribosomal RNA". The stretch from base 40 to 216 matches the Rfam family "Eukaryotic small subunit ribosomal RNA", at positions 686 to 864 of the family's 1831-position model. The record is from RNAcentral. Lineage: Eukaryota; Fungi; Glomeromycota.
GGGUCAGUAGGUUGGUCGUGCCACCGGUACGUACUGGUCUCACUGAUUCCUCCUUCCUGAAGAACCGUAAUGCCAUUAAUUUGGUGUUGCGGGGAGACAGGACUGUUACUUUGAAAAAAUUAGAGUGUUUAAAGCAAGCUAACGCUUGAAUACAUUAGCAUGGAAUAAUGAAAUAGGGCGAUCGAUCCUAUUUUGUUGGUUUCUAGGAUUGACGUA